AGCGACGAUAGCACGUUGAGUGAACCAGUCCCCGAUGGAUCACUGAAGCUGAGCAACAUUGCUCAUGGUUGGUAUCCGGAUGGGUGACCAUCCGGAUAAACUCAGAUGUGUCCCGC
This 116-nucleotide ribosomal RNA is filed under the name Diaphorina citri (Asian citrus psyllid). Lineage: Eukaryota; Metazoa; Arthropoda; Insecta; Hemiptera; Psyllidae. The record is from RNAcentral.